GCAGUCAGCCAGACGAUCGCUCUUCUUCGUGCUUCGCUUCGGCGAUAAGGCGAAGGGGAGAGGAAAGUCCGAACUCCGAAGGGCAGUGCGCCGGGUAACGCCCGGGCAGGGCAACUUGACGGAUAGUGGCACAGAAAACAUACCGCCUCGGGCAACCGGGGUAAGGGUGAAAAGGUGCGGUAAGAGCGCACCGCGCCGGCGGUAACGCCGGUGGCAGGCAAAACCCCGCACGGAGCAAGACCAAAUAGGGUGGCGGAUGA
RNAcentral lists this RNase P RNA (260 nucleotides) under Acidobacteriota bacterium. RNAcentral's name for it is "Acidobacteria bacterium partial RNase P RNA component class A". It matches the Rfam family "Bacterial RNase P class A", at positions 1 to 247 of the family's 367-position model. Rfam says of the family: Ribonuclease P (RNase P) is a ubiquitous endoribonuclease, found in archaea, bacteria and eukarya as well as chloroplasts and mitochondria. The record is from RNAcentral. Lineage: Bacteria; Pseudomonadati; Acidobacteriota.